This is a long non-coding RNA of Drosophila willistoni, 185 nucleotides long. RefSeq lists it as uncharacterized. Lineage: Eukaryota; Metazoa; Arthropoda; Insecta; Diptera; Drosophilidae. The record is from RefSeq and is a predicted model, not a curated record. The transcript has 2 exons.
UCCUCCGAUUCGGUACGUAUUUUGCAGGUCCCUUCGUAGAGGUUUAGUGGCCAGGGCUGCAGCAUGGUGGAGGGAGUCGCUGAGGGUGUUUUGCAACAGUUUGAUGUUAGAUCCUACAGGCAAAAGUCUUGGAUUGUCAGGAAGUAAGUUUGGGUGCUGGUCCAUCGUGAUGUGUACAAAAACAG